RNAcentral lists this ribosomal RNA (705 nucleotides) under Russula pallidospora. RNAcentral's name for it is "eukaryotic LSU rRNA". The stretch from base 244 to 397 matches the Rfam family "5.8S ribosomal RNA". The record is from RNAcentral. Lineage: Eukaryota; Fungi; Basidiomycota; Agaricomycetes; Russulales; Russulaceae. RNAcentral also lists the same sequence under 1 other name.
AAAAGUCGUAACAAGGUUUCCGUAGGUGAACCUGCGGAAGGAUCAUUAUCGUACAACGGAGGCGCGAGGGCUGUCGCUGACUUUUCAAAGGUCGUGCACGCCCAAGUGUUCUCAAUCCAUCUCACCCCUUGUGCAUCACCGCGGGGGCCCCUUUGGGCUUGUUCCAAAGGGUGCUCACGUUUUAACACAGACACCCAUUUGAAUGCAGUGUAGAAUGUUCUUCAUGUAAUGAAUCAAUAAUACAACUUUCAACAACGGAUCUCUUGGCUCUCGCAUCGAUGAAGAACGCAGCGAAAUGCGAUACGUAAUGUGAAUUGCAGAAUUCAGUGAAUCAUCGAAUCUUUGAACGCACCUUGCGCCCCUUGGCAUUCCGAGGGGUACACCCGUUUGAGUGUCGUGACAUCUUCAACCCUUCUUGGUUUCUUGAUCAAGAAGGCUUGGAAUCUGGAGGCUUUUGCUGGCCUUCCUUGAAGCCAGCUCCUCUUAAAUGAAUUAGUGGGGUUCACAUCGGUUCGAUCCUGGACGUGAUAAGAUGCUUCUACGUCUUGGGUUUUGAUCUGUCCCCUCGCUUCUAACCGUCUCGUAGGAGACUCUGUUCGGGCCCCACCACCACCCUUCGUUGGGUGGGAAGCCUGACCCACGAAACCUUGACCUCAAAUCGGGUGAGACUACCCGCUGAACUUAAGCAUAUCAAUAAGCGGAGGA